AUGCACAUGUUAACUGAAAUGGAAAAUUCGGCAAUUAGGGAAAUAUAGCAGAGUCAUACUCUAGCAGAGUAUGGAUCUGCUCCAUUUUCAUAAUUGCUCAAUUUUCCUAUUCACUUCAUAUAUGCAUACCACAUGGCCAUUAAAAUAUUAAAGGUUGAUAUUAAAACUUUAAAAACCAAUUCAUUCAUUCAAUAAAAAAGCUUAAAAGCAUUCAUUUCACUACCUCGUUUCAUGAACUUAGUUACCUGGUUCUCAAUACAUAGAGUACGACACUAUCAUUCCAACGCAUUCAACCCCGUGUCAAUCGGAGUUAUUGUCCCCACUUUAUGGUGGAAACGAGAACGCUAAACAUUUUUCCAAGUAUCAUAACCCUCGCUUAGCGAGAUUGGGGCGAGCUCCCAGCGAGGUGAGUCAGAAUGCUCAAGCCUCUGAAUUUUUCCUUAUCUCGCUUAGCGAGACCCAGCGAGGCCUUCAAACGAGAUCCCAACGAGGCUCAUACGAGACAUGUCAGAAUGUCACAUUUCCUCAAGAUCAAUUGUCUCACUUAGCGAGACCUAGUGAGGUCUGGAGAGAAUAGCAUAACAAUUUCUGUUGCAAGCCACUAGUUUGCUCGCCUGGCAAACCAUUCACUCACCUAACGAGACCUGUAGAACUCGGCUAGCAAGGAAACGUUACAGAAGGAAAGAAACAUGCAACAACAAAAUCAUAUCAUAUCAUGUUACACAAACAACAUCAACAUCAUAGGGUAUCACAAUUAAUCAUGGAAGACAAUUAGAAUAUCGUGUAUUAACACAGGUUUCAUGAUUAAAGUCAAACAUACACAAAGUCUUAAUUCCCUUUUCAUGAAAAUUCCCCUCAAAUGCUACAACUACCUAUAAUCCACCUUAGAUUGAUGAAGAUGACGAAGGUUUAAAAUUAAAUCUUGAUGCUUCAAGCUCUUGGUUUUCACUUCCAAGAUUUUCUUUUCUUUCAUCUUCUCUUCUUUUCUCCUCUUCUCUUUCUAUUUCUGUUGUUUUUACUAACAAGGCAAGGUUGGUAAAGAAAGAAGGAUAAGAAAAAUAUCUAUAUGAGAUAUUUUUCUUAGUAGAGCAAUUGAUCAUUCAUAAUGUUAUCACAAUAUUUCUUUCUUUUAGUAAUUAACAAAUAUCAAUUAAAUUGAAUAAAGAAUUAAGCUCAUUUGAGUUCACUAAUUACUCUAUUUGUCUCGGUUGACAAGAAAUAGAGCAUAUAGAAACUAAGUUGAUCUCAAUUGACGAUGAAUAGAGUAUUUAAGAGGAUGUGGGAUAUUACAACGAGUAUAAUAAUUCUAGAUUUUUAAUUAAAAUGUGAAAAAUCAACUUAAUUUAGGCUUUUAUAAAAAAAAUCUCUUUCAACUAAAAACUCUUUUGAGGCAUAGGUAGUAUAAAUCAAUUACGACAAUUGAUUUAAGAAAUCAUAUCCAUUUUAAUUCCAUGGUAGAAAUUGCCUCCAAAAUAAUUCACUGUAAAAAUUGAUAAAGCCUCAAACCAUUUCUUUGAGAAUUUAAUUUCAAAUGUUGAAUCAUAAAUAUGAAAAAGAAUCUCAAAAAAAUGACGUUGUGAUAAUGUGGUAGAAAUAUGAUGAAAUUUUAAAGGGAAAAAGAAAUGAUAUAUAUUUCUUCUUCCAAUCUCGUGUUUCUUAUUUUUCUUUAUUAUUUUUAAUCUUAUGUAUCUGAGUCAUAGUAAUACUCUUUCUUGCUUUAUCAUCUUCUUAGAGUACAAAAUCAAAUGCAAGAAUUGUUAAAUUAGGAAAAGAAAAAAAUGGGUUCUACAACAAUAACUAAAAAAACCUUAAAAACUAGAGCUCUAAUCCCAUUUCCACCUCCCUAUACAUUUGUGAUCAAUGCACUUAGGAACAUAAAGCUCUUCCCAAUAUCGUGGACAAUCUGCGUCAAUUACACAUCCAUCUUGUUCUGUAAUGAAAAAGAUAAUAAAUGAUUCUGUACGAAUUAGGAAUUAAAGAAUGAAACUGGAAAAUUAUGAAAAAAUACUUACCACCACCAACUUCCAUUGCAACAAGAAAUAAGAAAAGAAAUAGAAUCAUAGCAUAACUAAACUUGAGAAUUUUAGCCAUAUUUUUUUUUCUUGUACAUGUUAAACUACAAUAUGAUUUAAUCUCUUAUAUAUGUAAAAUACAUGUUCCCUAAAAACAAUUAAAUACUUUUUAGCUCACCUAGUAUAGAGGUCACAUAAUAGUAUAUGAAUUUUUUUUAACCUUUCGUGAGAGUAAAAUGGAUAUAUAUUUUUUAACAUUUCAUUGCUUCUAACUUUUUAUUCAUCUUUUUACAAAUCUCAAAAGACUAGAUGAUAGUUUUCUUUGGGGACGAUGAUGAAGUUAUUUGUUAGAAAUAAUGCAUCUUUGGGGUGAGAAUAUGUUUAUACACAAGUAGAAUAUAUUGCAAGAUCUAUUAUUUUUUAGUUAACAAAAUUGUUAAUUAGAAAGGAUUGGAUAUUUAAUUUUGUAAUUGCAUCAUAUAUUCUACACUAUCAUUCACAUCUAUGGGUGUAAUGAAUUUGAUUUGAAUCGAUUUUUUAUCAA
Molecule: long non-coding RNA, 2556 nt
Filed under: Lathyrus oleraceus (garden pea)
Lineage: Eukaryota; Viridiplantae; Streptophyta; Magnoliopsida; Fabales; Fabaceae
Description: Pisum sativum (pea) long non-coding RNA (PSAT_LNC004286)
Source: RNAcentral